AGGAUCGUCGGGAGAGGGGCCGCGGUGAGAGGGAGCGGGGGGACGGUGAUGGGAAGCACGAGGCUUAAGGGGGGCGUAGGCGGGCGGCGAAGUGCGGGGUGAAAGCCUCCCGCCCAGCGGGGGAAGAGCCGCGGAGACUGGGGGGCUGGAGGGAGGUAGGGGCAAGCGGAACUGUGGGUGGAGCGGUGAAAUGCAUUGAGAUCCACAGGAACUCCGGUGGCGAAGGCGGCUUGCUGGACCUCUUCUGACGCUGAGGCGCGAAAGCCAGGGGAGCGAACGGGAUUAGAUACCCUAGUAGUC
RNAcentral lists this ribosomal RNA (300 nucleotides) under uncultured Pyrodictium sp. RNAcentral's name for it is "partial 16S ribosomal RNA". The stretch from base 52 to 300 matches the Rfam family "Bacterial small subunit ribosomal RNA", at positions 547 to 795 of the family's 1533-position model. The record is from RNAcentral. Lineage: Archaea; Thermoproteati; Thermoproteota; Thermoprotei; Desulfurococcales; Pyrodictiaceae.